CGUAGAUCUGCAGUAACCUGCGCUGAACACUGACGCAUCUUUCUAAAGCUGAAGACAACAUGAGGCAACCGCUUGGAAUGAAUCUAUUGGCGAUCGUUGCCACUGCAAUAGCUGUAAUUAUAAUGGCUCCAAAUGAAGCUCUUGCGCUCGGAGGAUACGUUGGCGGAAACGGAGCCAUUGAUUUUGGUCGCAAAAAGUGAUGCAACGUUUGUCUUAUGGGAACCACGUACACAGGGCAUCCAGAUAUAGCGCCACCCGUCGCGCAUUGCCGAUGCGCGUCACCUAUGGAGCUGCGCUCUUCAAUGGGCUCAGCCUGUGUGCGGCCCGGGGGAGAGGUGUUUCGGCUGCCAGGAAGGACGGACGGUGUCACCCAUGCUAUAACCGAAUCCUGCAGCACAAAAUCAUGGUCGCUGCGUAGCUGCGUCGUGUCCCUGGGCCAACCCUGCCAUGUACCGUAUUUAGUUUAAUAAAUUGUCUUGAUUUGA
This is a long non-coding RNA of Rhipicephalus microplus (southern cattle tick), 485 nucleotides long. Lineage: Eukaryota; Metazoa; Arthropoda; Arachnida; Ixodida; Ixodidae. The record is from RefSeq and is a predicted model, not a curated record.